UUAAAAGUUUCCGAAAAUGAAUCAAACCCUAAAGACAUGUAUCUCCCUCCUCGUACCCUAUCGCUUCUCAUCGGCUCCAUCAUGCUUCCGCCGCCCGCAGCCCGUCGCCUGCCGGCGGCGGUGAUGCUCUGAUGGACCCCAAUUUUACACCAUUGAAUCCCCGUCUCCUCCUAUUUCCAAAUCCCCAAAUCCCAUCCCUCGAAUCCUAGCCUAUAUUUUCAAAUCUUAGAUCAAAAUGCCGUCUUAAAACCUUACUUGCUCCAAAAUCCACCAAAGUUUCAUCACAUAACCUUCUCAUCUUCCUCUUCACAAAUCCGUGGCUAGUUUCUUUCAAUUUCACCUGGCCGUCUCAAAUUUGAAAUCUAGGGAUGCUGAAGUCAAGUCUGUUUUGGGAGAUUUUUUGCAAGUUUGAAUGUUUUUUACAGUAAGUGUUCCUUAGUUUUUUAUUUCUAUUAGUGUAGUUUAGCUUUUCUUUUUUUUCUUUUCCUUUCAAUCCAGUUGGUUACUAGAAGCUUGGCUCAUAGUUUGAUUCUGAUUUAGUUUUAGUUUAACUUGGUGUUAAUCUUGUUAUAGUAGUUUAGUUUUGUUAUAACUUCAUAGUUCAUCAGUCCUUGUUAGGGUUUAAUUGUUAGUAUAUGUGCCCCUAUUCUUUUUUACACCGAUUUGGUUUGGCAUAGAUGUUGGUUUAAUUUUAUGCCUGAUCGAUUCUGUAUUAGUUUAAUUUUGUUUUGAUUCAUUAUGAUUAGUUGAUUUUUGGAUAAUAGUUAAUUGGGUUCCACAUCUUUAGGAUACAUGAUACUAAUAGUUGAUUGUUUGAUUCUGGAUUUAGCUUGACUAUAGUUAGUUGUCUAAUCAACCAUGGGUAAAGGUUUGGUUUAGUUAACUGAGGUAGUAAUUUCAGGGAGGAAAUAAGGGUAGUUUAGGCAUGGAAAAGUAUAGUUUGGUUAAGAAUAGUGAUUCCAAAAUGAAAGCAAGGGUAGUAUAGGUAUUGUAUAGGUAGAAGAACACACUAAGGCCUUCUAGAAUAGGACUUUAGUAUACAUUUUAGUACAAUAGAGGUAGUUACAUGGGUAGCAAGUUAAUAAAUAAGGGACUAAAGUAAAAGAAGAAGAGGGACUGAAAAGAAAACCAAAAAUCUGAUUGUUCACCCUUAUGGUGCCUAUAAAUUGGCAUUCUCAUGCCUUAGGGAGGUAUCUUCUUUUUAGCCAACAAAAAUUUCCCAAAUACUCUCUAGUUACAGGUUCAAAAGGAGAUCUAAAAUCUGAAAUUUCUUUUAGUUUAAGCUUUUCUAAAGAAAAGCUAAAAAAACAACAAAAACUCUGAAAAGCCAAAAGAAAAACGUAGUUCCAUUGCUUUUUCUCUUAGAUUAUUUUCCUAUUCUAGCUUAGUUCAAUUCUUUAAUCCUCUUAAUAAACUUAAAAUAGCUCAAAAUAUGUUGUUUCUGUUCAAAAUUUGAAGUUUGAAAGUCACUGGAAUCAUUUGAGCACUAUUAUUGGGUUCUUCAAUGGGAUUUGGGUUGUUUGAGUUGGAUGCGGUUUGCUGGGUCUAUUUCUGAGCAUUUUGGUACUAAUUUUGGGUUAUUCUGUGAUCCUAUUUGGUUUUGAAACAAUCCUGAGGCUUAGAGCUUGUUUCUGAAUUGCUGCUACAUGGUUAUUGCAUCGGCUCGCCUAUUCUCUUUUGUUAUUUCACCUUUCCAGGUACACACUCGAAAUUCAGCUGUAACUCCAAGCUUGAAAUGGAAUAAAAUUUCCCACCUAUUUGAUCCUGAGAUCUGCCUGCUAGUUGUUACAUAUUCAUAGUUAGAUAGAUAUUAUAAGCGUUGUUUAAUAUAGUUAAGUGUCAAUUGGUUGUGUAUAAACUGUGGACCGUGUGGACUAUCACUCUUACUCUUGAUUGAAUUUCUUAAGUAAGAGCAGACGUAAUUAUUUUUGAGCCAAAUUACAGAGUGAUCUAAUUUCAGGCAUGCUUCAGUUAAAGGUGUUAGUUUCAUGAUAUGUUAAUGGCAUCGUUUCGUAAAGGAUUUAUUAAAUCGUUUCUGAUUUGUGUAAGAAAUAGGACAUAACGUUAACAACCUACUCACAACUUACGUUCAAUUGCCAUGCCAAUUUAAAGUAUAUGAGUUUUUUUUACCUUAGUUCCAGAUUUUCUUUUUACCUUAGUGAUAUCUUGUAACUCGUCAAAAGUUAGAAUAUAAAAUAAUCUGAGUUAAAUUUGAAAAUUAAGUUGAUCAUUGUUGAGUCAAUCUGAAUAGGCGCAUGUUGUUUCCUCCGUUACAAACGUGUUGAAUGAUUUUUUAUAACUGUGGUGGACGUCUGGGUCUACACUGAACUGAGGCUUCACUUGAUUCAGCUAGCACCCUUACAGCGGGCACUUGGGCUUAAAUGCAUCAAUAAGCAGCCCAGGCCCUACUGAUUUCUUCACAUGACCCGUGUCCAAGAAAUUUGAACGCAUGUGUUCAUGGACUCCAAACAUAUUUGAUUCCACAACAACCCAAUUCGUUAGGAUCUCUUUUUAUUUAUUUUAGAGACAAACAAAAGUAGAAAAUCGUAGUCAGUUUUAGGUUGGCCCUUUAAUAAAAUGUUGAGGCGUGCCUUAGUCAAAUAAAAAUACAAAAUGUGGGGCCCUCAUUAAAUAGUUAUUAAAAUACUUAGAAUUUGGGAGCACCGUUUAGUGAACUUAACGGCUUUUUCCAAAAUAAUAAUACGCUAGACUCUUUAGGCGUGAUUUAAUUAAAUUAUUCUCUUAAACUUUGGUGCGCAUUGAUGCGCCCAAAUCCAAAUCUCAACGGAGUCAAAUGUGUUAACAACCACAGGUGCAUUGAUUGCGACGUGGUUUGAGAUGCAUUUUCACGAUAUUACAAUUCUUUUAAAAUAAUUAUAAAAGCGGUUUACGAAUAAAAGGCAUAUUUUGGCAUGUAUUAAAAUCAGAUAAAAUCAAAUUCAUUAGUUGAGCGAGCGUGCUAGAACCACGGAAUCCGGGAAUGCCUAACACCUUCUCCCAGGUUAACAGAAUUCCUUAUCGGAUUUCUAGUUCGCGGACUGUAAUACAAGGUCAUAUUUUUCCUCGGUUCGGGAUCAAACUGGUGGCUUGGGACACCAUCAAUCUCCCAAGUGGCGACUCUGAAAUCUUAAUAAUAACUGCAUAUUUCGAUUGUCCUUUAAGUGAAAAAACUUCUUUACACCGUUGCGGGUUGUAGGUAAAAAGGAGGUGUGAUAGCUUUGGCGACUCUACUAGGACAAGAACCUAGAAUAUUUUGUUCAGGGUUCAGAAUUUGAGCUUAGAUAAAUUGUUUUAUUUGGUUAUAUUAGAUUUUCCUCCAUGUUUUGUACUGAAUGUGCUAAAUGUUACUGCUUUGAUAUUUUCUGUACUGUAUAUAAACUGUGUCGAUACUCUUCUCUUCUCACCUCCGGGUAUGUGCUUACUGGUUGACACUCUCUAUUCUGUUAGUGUCAUACCCUGAAAUAAGAAAGACACCGGACACGUUAUGAAGCCGGAUGGUCUUUCGGUUCCCGGUAAGUUUCCCCCUACUCGAGUCGCGUUGUCUGCUCGGGUCGGGAUUUUGAACACAAAGUAAUGUGACUUCAUGCUAGAUCCCUAGUAGUAACGCUUAUUUGCAUCAUGUUGCAUUUGCCUUAGGGGACUAAACACAGGUGUUGGGUCCGUCUAGGACUAGCAACCUGAAAUAAAUAGACCAUCUUGAUGCAUCUUAUUUAUUUUUCGUGCAUUUAUUUGUCUCGGGCCCGCAUGUUGACAAGCUUUUGAAUAUCAAGAAUUUUGUGAAAUUAAGAAACCAAUGUCUAAUUACUGUCGAAGAUCUACCGAAAUUUGAAAAACAAAACAAGAUGUUUUAUUUUUAAUAGUUUGUUUACUAAAAAGCAAA
Molecule: long non-coding RNA, 3880 nt
Filed under: Nicotiana benthamiana
Lineage: Eukaryota; Viridiplantae; Streptophyta; Magnoliopsida; Solanales; Solanaceae
Description: long non-coding RNA (NBEN_LNC035740)
Source: RNAcentral